RNAcentral lists this ribosomal RNA (253 nucleotides) under uncultured bacterium. Its description in RNAcentral is "partial 16S ribosomal RNA". It matches the Rfam family "Bacterial small subunit ribosomal RNA", at positions 524 to 776 of the family's 1533-position model. The record is from RNAcentral.
UACGUAGGGUGCAAGCGUUGUCCGGAAUUAUUGGGCGUAAAGAGCUCGUAGGCGGUCUGUUGCGUCGGCUGUGAAAACCCGGGGCUCAACCCCGGGCCUGCAGCCGAUACGGGCAGACUAGAGUUCGGCAGGGGAGACUGGAAUUCCUGGUGUAGCGGUGAAAUGCGCAGAUAUCAGGAGGAACACCGGUGGCGAAGGCGGGUCUCUGGGCCGAUACUGACGCUGAGGUGCGAGAGCGUGGGGAGCGAACCGG